GAUGAACGCUGGCGGCGUGCCUAAUACAUGCAAGUCGAGCGGACCAAAGAGAGCUUGCUCUCUGAGGUUAGCGGCGGACGGGUGAGUAACACGUGGGUAACCUGCCUGUAAGACGGGGAUAACUUCGGGAAACCGAAGCUAAUACCGGAUGAUAAAGAGAAACGCCUGUUUCUCUUUUGAAAGUCGGCCUUGUGCUGACGCUUACAGAUGGGCCGGCGGCGCAUUAGCUAGUUGGUGAGGUAACGGCUCACCAAGGCGACGAUGCGUAGCCGACCUGAGAGGGUGAUCGGCCACACUGGGACUGAGACACGGCCCAGACUCCUACGGGAGGCAGCAGUAGGGAAUCUUCGGCAAUGGACGAAAGUCUGACCGAGCAACGCCGCGUGAGCGAUGAAGGCCUUCGGGUCGUAAAGCUCUGUUGUCAGAGAAGAACAAGUACCGGAGUAACUGCCGGUACCUUGACGGUACCUGACCAGAAAGCCACGGCUAACUACGUGCCAGCAGCCGCGGUAA
RNAcentral lists this ribosomal RNA (513 nucleotides) under uncultured bacterium. RNAcentral's name for it is "partial 16S ribosomal RNA". It matches the Rfam family "Bacterial small subunit ribosomal RNA", at positions 28 to 523 of the family's 1533-position model. The record is from RNAcentral.